RNAcentral lists this ribosomal RNA (497 nucleotides) under uncultured bacterium. RNAcentral's name for it is "partial 16S ribosomal RNA". It matches the Rfam family "Bacterial small subunit ribosomal RNA", at positions 28 to 507 of the family's 1533-position model. The record is from RNAcentral.
GAUGAACGCUGGCGGCGUGCCUAAUACAUGCAAGUCGAGCGAACAGACGAGGAGCUUGCUCCUCUGACGUUAGCGGCGGACGGGUGAGUAACACGUGGAUAACCUACCUAUAAGACUGGGAUAACUUCGGGAAACCGGAGCUAAUACCGGAUAACAUGUUGAACCGCAUGGUUCAACAGUGAAAGACGGUUUUGCUGUCACUUAUAGAUGGAUCCGCGCCGCAUUAGCUAGUUGGUAAGGUAACGGCUUACCAAGGCAACGAUGCGUAGCCGACCUGAGAGGGUGAUCGGCCACACUGGAACUGAGACACGGUCCAGACUCCUACGGGAGGCAGCAGUAGGGAAUCUUCCACAAAGGGCGAAAGCCUGACGGAGCAACGCCGCGUGAGUGAAGAAGGUCUUCGGAUCGUAAAACUCUGUUAUUAGGGAAGAACAAAUGUGUAAGUAACUAUGCACGUCUUGACGGUACCUAAUCAGAAAGCCACGGCUAACUACGUG